GACGAACGCUGGCGGCGUGCUUAACACAUGCAAGUCGAACGGAAAGGCCCUGCUUUUGUGGGGUGCUCGAGUGGCGAACGGGUGAGUAACACGUGAGUAACCUGCCCUUGACUUUGGGAUAACUUCAGGAAACUGGGGCUAAUACCGGAUAGGAGCUCCUGCUGCAUGGUGGGGGUUGGAAAGUUUCGGCGGUUGGGGAUGGACUCGCGGCUUAUCAGCUUGUUGGUGGGGUAGUGGCUUACCAAGGCUUUGACGGGUAGCCGGCCUGAGAGGGUGACCGGCCACAUUGGGACUGAGAUACGGCCCAGACUCCUACGGGAGGCAGCAGUGGGGAAUAUUGCACAAUGGGCGGAAGCCUGAUGCAGCAACGCCGCGUGCGGGAUGACGGCCUUCGGGUUGUAAACCGCUUUCGCCUGUGACGAAGCGUGAGUGACGGUAAUGGGUAAAGAAGCACCGGCUAACUACGUGCCAGCAGCCGCGGUGAUACGUAGGGUGCGAGCGUUGUCCGGAUUUAUUGGGCGUAAAGGGCUCGUAGGUGGUUGAUCGCGUCGGAAGUGUAAUCUUGGGGCUUAACCCUGAGCGUGCUUUCGAUACGGGUUGACUUGAGGAAGGUAGGGGAGAAUGGAAUUCCUGGUGGAGCGGUGGAAUGCGCAGAUAUCAGGAGGAACACCAGUGGCGAAGGCGGUUCUCUGGGCCUUUCCUGACGCUGAGGAGCGAAAGCGUGGGGAGCGAACAGGCUUAGAUACCCUGGUAGUCCACGCUGUAAACGGUGGGUACUAGGUGUGGGGUCCAUUCCACGGGUUCCGUGCCGUAGCUAACGCUUUAAGUACCCCGCCUGGGGAGUACGGCCGCAAGGCUAAAACUCAAAGGAAUUGACGGGGCCCCGCACAAGCGGCGGAGCAUGCGGAUUAAUUCGAUGCAACGCGUAGAACCUUACCUGGGUUUGACAUGGAUCGGGAGUGCUCAGAGAUGGGUGUGCCUCUUUUGGGGUCGGUUCACAGGUGGUGCAUGGCUGUCGUCAGCUCGUGUCGUGAGAUGUUGGGUUAAGUCCCGCAACGAGCGCAACCCUUGUUCACUGUUGCCAGCACGUUAUGGUGGGGACUCAGUGGAGACCGCCGGGGUCAACUCGGAGGAAGGUGGGGAUGACGUCAAGUCAUCAUGCCCCUUAUGUCCAGGGCUUCACGCAUGCUACAAUGGCUGGUACAGAGAGUGGCGAGCCUGUGAGGGUGAGCGAAUCUCGGAAAGCCGGUCUCAGUUCGGAUUGGGGUCUGCAACUCGACCUCAUGAAGUCGGAGUCGCUAGUAAUCGCAGAUCAGCAACGCUGUGGUGAAUACGUUCCCGGG
RNAcentral lists this ribosomal RNA (1343 nucleotides) under uncultured bacterium. RNAcentral describes it as "16S ribosomal RNA". It matches the Rfam family "Bacterial small subunit ribosomal RNA", at positions 28 to 1378 of the family's 1533-position model. The record is from RNAcentral.